AAUGGUAGGGUUUGAUCAUGGCUCAGAUUGAACGCUGGCGGGAUGUUUACACAUGCGAGUCGAACGGCAGCACGACUUCGGUCUGGUGGCGAGUGGCGAACGGGCGGAGUAAUGUAUCGGAACGUGCCUAGUAGCGGGGAUAACUACGCGAAAGCAGAAGCAUUGGUCGCGAUGGCUGUAGUUCCUUCGGGGGAAAGCGGGGACCUUUCGGCCUCGGCAUUAUUAGAGCGGCCGAUAUCGGAUUAGCUAGCUGGUGGGGCAACGGUUCAUCAAGGCGACGAUCCGUAGCUGGUUUGAGAGGACGACCAGCCAUUAAUUGGGACCGAGACACGGCCCAGACUCACGGGAGGCAGCAGUGGGGAAUUUUGGGACAAUGGGGAAACUCCUGAUCCAGCCAUCCCAUGCGGUGGUGAUGCGAAGGCCUUCGGUUGUAAAGCACUUUGGCAGGAAAGAAACGGCACGGGAUAAUACCCCGUGCAACUGACGGUACCCGGGUAGAAUAAGCACCGGCUAACCACAGCCAGCAGCCGCGGUAAUACGUAGGGUGCAAGCGUUAAUCGGAAUUACUGGGCGUAAAGCGUGCGCAGGCGGUUCGGAAAGAAAGAUGUGAAAUCCCAGAGCUUAACUUUGGAACUGCAUUUUUAACUACCGAGCUAGAGUGUGUCAGGAGUGAGGUGGAAUUCCGCGUGUAGCAGUGAAAUGCGUAGAUAUGCGGAGAACACCGAUGGCGAAGGCAGCCUCCUGGGACACUGACGCUCAUGCACGAAAGCGUGGGGAGCAAACAGGAUUAGAUACCCUGGUAGUCCACGCCCUAAACGAUGUCAACUAGCUGUUGGGGCCUCGGGCCUUGGUGGCGCAGCUAACGCAGGUUGACCGCCUGGGGAGUACGGUCGCAAGAUUAAAACUCAAAGGAAUUGACGGGGACCCGCACAAGCGGUGGAUGAUGUGGAUUAAUUCGAUGCAACGCGAAAAACCUUACCUACCCUUGACAUGUCUGGAAUCCCGAAGAGAUUUGGGAGUGCUCGCAAGAGAACCGGAACACAGGUGCUGCAUGGCUGUCGUCAGCUCGUGUCGUAGAUGGGUUAAGUCCCGCAACGAGCGCAACCCUUGUCAUUAGUUGCUACGAAAGGGCACUCUAAUGAGACUGCCGGUGACAAACCGGAGGAAGGUGGGGAUGACGUCAAGUCCUCAUGGCCCUUAUGGGUAGGGCUUCACACGCUCAUACAAUGGUCGGGACAGAGGGUCGCCAACCCGCGAGGGGGAGCCAAUCCCAGAAACCCGAUCGUAGUCCGGAUCGCAGUCUGCAACUCGACUGCGUGGUUUGACCGCUAGUAAUCGCGGAUCAGCAUGUCGCGGUGAAUACGUUCCCGGGGUCUUGUACACACCGCCCGUCAAGACCAUGGGAGUGGGUUUUACCAGAAGUAGUUAGCCUAACCGUAAGGAGGGCGAUUACCACGGUAGGAUUCAUGACUGGGGUGAAGUCGUAAUAAGGUAA
RNAcentral lists this ribosomal RNA (1495 nucleotides) under uncultured Bordetella sp. RNAcentral's name for it is "partial 16S-23S ribosomal RNA intergenic spacer". It matches the Rfam family "Bacterial small subunit ribosomal RNA". Lineage: Bacteria; Pseudomonadati; Pseudomonadota; Betaproteobacteria; Burkholderiales; Alcaligenaceae. The record is from RNAcentral.